GGUUAAGCGACUAAGCGUACACGGUGGAUGCCCUGGCAGUCAGAGGCGAUGAAGGACGUGCUAAUCUGCGAAAAGCGUCGGUAAGGUGAUAUGAACCGUUACAGCCGGCGAUGUCCGAAUGGGGAAACCCAGUGUGAUUCGUCACACUAUCGUUAACUGAAUACAUAGGUUAACGAGGCGAACCGGGGGAACUGAAACAUCUAAGUACCCCGAGGAAAAGAAAUCAACCGAGAUUCCCCCAGUAGCGGCGAGCGAACGGGGAGCAGCCCAGAGUCUGAAUCAGCUUGUGUGUUAGUGGAACGGUCUGGAAAGUCCGACGGUACAGGGUGAUAGUCCCGUACACCAAAAUGCACAGGCUGUGAACUCGAAGAGUAGGGCGGGACACGUGGUAUCCUGUCUGAAUAUGGGGGGACCAUCCUCCAAGGCUAAAUACUCCUGACUGACCGAUAGUGAACCAGUACCGUGAGGGAAAGGCGAAAAGAACCCCGGCGAGGGGAGUGAAAAAGAACCUGAAACCGUGUACGUACAAGCAGUGGGAGCACCUUCGGGUGUGACUGCGUACCUUUUGUAUAAUGGGUCAGCGACUUAUAUUCUGUAGCAAGGUUAACCGUAUAGGGGAGCCGCAGGGAAACCGAGUCUUAACUGGGCGUUAAGUUGCAGGGUAUAGACCCGAAACCCGGUGAUCUAGCCAUGGGCAGGUUGAAGGUUGGGUAACACUAACUGGAGGACCGAACCGACUAAUGUUGAAAAAUUAGCGGAUGACUUGUGGCUGGGGGUGAAAGGCCAAUCAAACCGGGAGAUAGCUGGUUCUCCCCGAAAGCUAUUUAGGUAGCGCCUCGUGAACUCAUCUUCGGGGGUAGAGCACUGUUUCGGCUAGGGGGUCAUCCCGACUUACCAACCCGAUGCAAACUACGAAUACCGAAGAAUGUUAUCACGGGAGACACACGGCGGGUGCUAACGUCCGUCGUGAAGAGGGAAACAACCCAGACCGCCAGCUAAGGUCCCAAAGUCACAGUUAAGUGGGAAACGAUGUGGGAAGGCACAGACAGCCAGGAUGUUGGCUUAGAAGCAGCCAUCAUUUAAAGAAAGCGUAAUAGCUCACUGGUCGAGUCGGCCUGCGCGGAAGAUGUAACGGGGCUAAACUGUGCACCGAAGCUGCGGCAGCGACACUAUGUGUUGUUGGGUAGGGGAGCGUUCUGUAAGCCUGCGAAGGUGGCCUGUGAGGGUUGCUGGAGGUAUCAGAAGUGCGAAUGCUGACAUAAGUAACGAUAAUGCGGGUGAAAAGCCCGCACGCCGGAAGACCAAGGGUUCCUGUCCAACGUUAAUCGGGGCAGGGUGAGUCGACCCCUAAGGCGAGGCCGAAAGGCGUAGUCGAUGGGAAACAGGUUAAUAUUCCUGUACUUGGUGUUACUGCGAAGGGGGGACGGAGAAGGCUAUGUUAGCCGGGCGACGGUUGUCCCGGUUUAAGCAUGUAGGCGGAGGUUCCAGGUAAAUCCGGUACCUUUUUAACGCUGAGGUGUGAUGACGAGGCACUACGGUGCUGAAGUAACAAAUGCCCUGCUUCCAGGAAAAGCCUCUAAGCAUCAGGUAACAUUGAAUCGUACCCCAAACCGACACAGGUGGUCAGGUAGAGAAUACCAAGGCGCUUGAGAGAACUCGGGUGAAGGAACUAGGCAAAAUGGUGCCGUAACUUCGGGAGAAGGCACGCUGAUAUGUAGGUGAAGCCCCUGCGGGUGGAGCUGAAAUCAGUCGAAGAUACCAGCUGGCUGCAACUGUUUAUUAAAAACACAGCACUGUGCAAACACGAAAGUGGACGUAUACGGUGUGACGCCUGCCCGGUGCCGGAAGGUUAAUUGAUGGGGUUAUCCGUAAGGAGAAGCUCUUGAUCGAAGCCCCGGUAAACGGCGGCCGUAACUAUAACGGUCCUAAGGUAGCGAAAUUCCUUGUCGGGUAAGUUCCGACCUGCACGAAUGGCGUAAUGAUGGCCAGGCUGUCUCCACCCGAGACUCAGUGAAAUUGAACUCGCUGUGAAGAUGCAGUGUACCCGCGGCAAGACGGAAAGACCCCGUGAACCUUUACUAUAGCUUGACACUGAACAUUGAGCCUUGAUGUGUAGGAUAGGUGGGAGGCUUUGAAGCGUGGACGCCAGUCUGCGUGGAGCCAACCUUGAAAUACCACCCUUUAAUGUUUGAUGUUCUAACGUUGGCCCCUGACCGGGGUUGCGGACAGUGUCUGGUGGGUAGUUUGACUGGGGCGGUCUCCUCCCAAAGAGUAACGGAGGAGCACGAAGGUUAGCUAAUCCUGGUCGGACAUCAGGAGGUUAGUGCAAUGGCAUAAGCUAGCUUGACUGCGAGCGUGACGGCGCGAGCAGGUGCGAAAGCAGGUCAUAGUGAUCCGGUGGUUCUGAAUGGAAGGGCCAUCGCUCAACGGAUAAAAGGUACUCCGGGGAUAACAGGCUGAUACCGCCCAAGAGUUCAUAUCGACGGCGGUGUUUGGCACCUCGAUGUCGGCUCAUCACAUCCUGGGGCUGAAGUAGGUCCCAAGGGUAUGGCUGUUCGCCAUUUAAAGUGGUACGCGAGCUGGGUUUAGAACGUCGUGAGACAGUUCGGUCCCUAUCUGCCGUGGGCGCUGGAGAAUUGAGGGGGGCUGCUCCUAGUACGAGAGGACCGGAGUGGACGCAUCACUGGUGUUCGGGUUGUCAUGCCAAUGGCACUGCCCGGUAGCUAAAUGCGGAAGAGAUAAGUGCUGAAAGCAUCUAAGCACGAAACUUGCCCCGAGAUGAGUUCUCCCUGAGACUUUAAGUCUCCUGAAGGAACGUUAAAGACGAUGACGUUGAUAGGUCGGGUGUGUAAGCGUAGCGAUACGUUGAGCUAACCGAUACUAAUGAACCGUGAGGCUUAACCUU
This 2905-nucleotide ribosomal RNA is filed under the name Klebsiella aerogenes. RNAcentral's name for it is "23S ribosomal RNA". It matches the Rfam family "Bacterial large subunit ribosomal RNA". The record is from RNAcentral. Lineage: Bacteria; Pseudomonadati; Pseudomonadota; Gammaproteobacteria; Enterobacterales; Enterobacteriaceae.